Molecule: long non-coding RNA, 435 nt
Organism: Hemiscyllium ocellatum (epaulette shark)
Lineage: Eukaryota; Metazoa; Chordata; Chondrichthyes; Orectolobiformes; Hemiscylliidae
Exons: 3
Source: RefSeq, a predicted model, not a curated record
GGAGCAUUUACUCAGUGAGUGCAAGAGGUUUGUUUGAAACAGACCGCAAUGGAGAGAUCAGCGCCCAGGGAAGGGAGGGAACAGCAGGCUCCUUCCAGCAGCACAUCGGGAUGGGAGCCUGGGACACAGAGGGGGCUCCGAGACCGGGAUUGAUUCGGGGCAAAUAUUUGAUGGAUCAGUCCAAGAGUGACCAGCUGCUUCUCACAAUCAGCAGGCAAGUACUCAAAGCACCAAGACAAUGUAAUAUUCCCUCAGUACAGAGCCAAGUGUGACCAGCUGCUUCCAACAAACAGCGGGUAUGUUACUGCUGUCAGAGCAGAGAACGUCCUUUCCACAGUCUGAGUGGAUUGACAUUGAGCUCCAUUCCCAGAGAGAUAUGUUCAAACCAAGAGUCAAACACUACUGAGUAAACAGAAGUUUAUAUUUUUAAAUCUA